AUGUACCUCGCGUACAACGCGGUUCCUAUGCGCCGUCCACGCCCACCUGACGACUGCUCGCCAGGGUUUGGCUAGCG
Molecule: small RNA, 77 nt
Filed under: Xanthomonas oryzae
Lineage: Bacteria; Pseudomonadati; Pseudomonadota; Gammaproteobacteria; Lysobacterales; Lysobacteraceae
Also listed under: 1 other name
Description: sX9 sRNA
Rfam family: Xanthomonas sRNA sX9
Source: RNAcentral